This 1308-nucleotide ribosomal RNA is filed under the name uncultured bacterium. RNAcentral's name for it is "bacterial SSU rRNA". It matches the Rfam family "Archaeal small subunit ribosomal RNA", at positions 21 to 1336 of the family's 1478-position model. The record is from RNAcentral.
ACCCGACUGCUAUCAGAGUGGGACUAAGCCAUGCGAGUCGACAUAGCAAUAUGCGGCAUACGGCUCAGUAACACGUAGUCAACAUGCCCAGGGGACGUGGAUAACCUCGGGAAACUGAGGAUAAACCGCGAUAGGUCAUCACUUCUGGAAUGGGUAAUGACUUAAACCUAUAUGGCCCCUGGAUUGGACUGCGGCCGAUCAGGCUGUUGGUGAGGUAAUGGCCCACCAAACCUGUAACCGGUACGGGCUCUGAGAGGAGGAGCCCGGAGAUGGGCACUGAGACAAGGGCCCAGGCCCUAUGGGGCGCAGCAGGCGCGAAACCUCUGCAAUAGGCGAAAGCUUGACAGGGUUACUCUGAGUGAUUUCCGUUAAGGAGAUCUUUUGGCACCUCUAAAAAUGGUGCAGAAUAAGGGGUGGGCAAGUCUGGUGUCAGCCGCCGCGGUAAUACCAGCACCCCGAGUGGUCGGGACGUUUAUUGGGCCUAAAGCAUCCGUAGCCGGUUCUACAAGUCUUCCGUUAAAUCCACCUGCUUAACAGAUGGGCUGCGGAAGAUACUAUAGAGCUAGGAGGCGGGAGAGGCAAGCGGUAUUCGAUGGGUAGGGGUAAAAUCCGUUGAUCCAUUGAAGACCACCAGUGGCGAAGGCGGCUUGCCAGAACGCGCUCGACGGUGAGGGAUGAAAGCUGGGGGAGCAAACCGGAUUAGAUACCCGGGUAGUCCCAGCUGUAAACGAUGCAGACUCGGUGAUGAAUUGGCUUAUUGCUAAUUCAGUGCCGCAGGGAAGCCGUUAAGUUUGCCGCCUGGGGAGUACGGUCGCAAGACUGAAACUUAAAGGAAUUGGCGGGGGAGCACCACAAGGGGUGAAGCCUGCGGUUCAAUUGGAGUCAACGCCGGAAAUCUUACCGGGGGCGACAGCAGAGUGAAGGUCAAGCUGAAGACUUUACCAGACAAGCUGAGAGGAGGUGCAUGGCCGUCGCCAGCUCGUGCCGUGAGGUGUCCUGUUAAGUCAGGUAACGAGCGAGAUCCCUGCCUCUAGUUGCUACCAUUAUUCUCAGGAGUAGUGGAGCUAAUUAGAGGGACCGCCGUCGCUGAGACGGAGGAAGGUGGGGGCUACGGCAGGUCAGUAUGCCCCGAAACCCUCGGGCCACACGCGGGCUGCAAUGGUAAGGACAAUGAGUUUCGAUUCCGAAAGGAGGAGGCAAUCUCUAAACCUUACCACAGUUAUGAUUGAGGGCUGAAACUCGCCCUCAUGAAUAUGGAAUCCCUAGUAACCGCGUGUCACUAUCGCGCGGUGAAUACGUCCCUGCUCC